This 586-nucleotide ribosomal RNA is filed under the name uncultured marine euryarchaeote. RNAcentral describes it as "bacterial SSU rRNA". It matches the Rfam family "Archaeal small subunit ribosomal RNA", at positions 294 to 883 of the family's 1478-position model. The record is from RNAcentral. Lineage: Archaea; Methanobacteriati; Methanobacteriota.
AGAUGGAUUUUGAUACACGAAUCCAGACCCUACGGGGUGCAGCGGGCGCGAAAACUUGGCAAUGCGAGCAAUCGUGACCAGGGAACUCCAAGUGCGUAGGGUAAGACCUACGCUUUUCUUGACUCUUCAAAGGUCUUGGAAUAAGGGGUGGGUAAGUACGGUGCCAUCCGCCGCGGUAAUACCGGCGCCUCAAGUGGUAGUCGCUUUUAUUGGGCCUAAAACGUCCGUAGCCGGUCUGGUACAUUCGUGGGUAAAUCAACCCGCUCAACGGGUUGAAUUCUGCGAGCACGGCCAGACUUGGGACCGGGAGAGGUGUGGGGUACUCUCAGGGUAGGGGUAAAAUCCUGUCAUCCUGAGAGGACCACCUGUUGCGAAGGCGCCACACUAGAACGGAUCCGACGGUCAGGGACGAAACCUAGGGGCACGAACCGGAUUAGAUACCCGGGUAGUCCUAGGUGUAAACGCUGUGGACUUGAUGUUGGGGGCGCUCCGAGCGCUCUCAGUGUCGAAGCGAAGGUGAUAAGUCCACUGCCUGGGGAGUACGGUCGCAAGGCUGAAACUCAAAUGAAUUGACGGAAUCACUAGU